This 71-nucleotide transfer RNA is filed under the name Bacteroidota bacterium. Its description in RNAcentral is "tRNA-Asn". It matches the Rfam family "tRNA". Rfam says of the family: Transfer RNA (tRNA) molecules are approximately 80 nucleotides in length. Their secondary structure includes four short double-helical elements and three loops (D, anti-codon, and T loops). Further hydrogen bonds mediate the characteristic L-shaped molecular structure. tRNAs have two regions of fundamental functional importance: the anti-codon, which is responsible for specific mRNA codon recognition, and the 3' end, to which the tRNAs corresponding amino acid is attached (by aminoacyl-tRNA synthetases). tRNAs cope with the degeneracy of the genetic code in two manners: having more than one tRNA (with a specific anti-codon) for a particular amino acid; and 'wobble' base-pairing, i.e. permitting non-standard base-pairing at the 3rd anti-codon position. Lineage: Bacteria; Pseudomonadati; Bacteroidota. The record is from RNAcentral.
GGAAACAUAGUUCAAUGGCAGAACGGUCGCUUGUUAAGCGGCGAAUGAAUGUUCGAAUCAUUCUGUUUUCG